UAAUACGUAGGGGGCAAGCGUUGUUCGGAAUUACUGGGCGUAAAGGGCGCGUAGGCGGCUGUGUAAGUCGGGAGUGAAAGCCCGGGGCUCAACCCCGGAAUGUCUCUCGAAACUGCGCGGCUCGAGUGCGGAAGAGGCAACUGGAAUUCCCAGUGUAGCGGUGAAAUGCGUAGAUAUUGGGAAGAACACCUGAGGCGAAGGCGGGUUGCUGGGCCGACACUGACGCUGAGGCGCGAAAGCCAGGGGAGCAAACGGGAUUAGAUACCCCGGUAGUCCUGGCCCUAAACGAUGGAUACUUGGUGUGUGGGGUUCUCUAAGUCCCCGCGUGCCGGAGCUCACGCGGUAAGUAUCCCGCCUGGGGAGUACGGUCGCAAGGCUG
RNAcentral lists this ribosomal RNA (379 nucleotides) under uncultured bacterium. Its description in RNAcentral is "bacterial SSU rRNA". It matches the Rfam family "Bacterial small subunit ribosomal RNA", at positions 521 to 896 of the family's 1533-position model. The record is from RNAcentral.